GUCAACACAAGUGGCCACUACAAACCGCCGCUCGCCAGAGAAGUAUAGGUGAAAAACCAGAAACUCAAAGGACUUGGCGGUGUCCCACAUCAACCUAGAGGAGCCUGUCCCAUAAUCGAUACCCCACGUUAAACCUCACCCACUUUUGCCUCUCAGCCUAUAUACCGCCGUCGCCAGCCUGCCUAAUGAUGGACACACAGCAGGCAAAAUAGUCUUCACUAAUACGUCAGGUCAAGGUGUAGCUAAUAAGUGGGCCUCAGAUGGGCUACAUUUUCUAAAUACAAGAAAACCACCACACGCACUAUGAAACAUAAGCCGCAAGGCGGAUUUAGCAGUAAGCCGAGCAAGACAGCUCAACUGAAAACUGCCCUGGG
RNAcentral lists this ribosomal RNA (374 nucleotides) under Ptyodactylus hasselquistii. RNAcentral's name for it is "partial 12S ribosomal RNA". It matches the Rfam family "Bacterial small subunit ribosomal RNA", at positions 801 to 1378 of the family's 1533-position model. The record is from RNAcentral. Lineage: Eukaryota; Metazoa; Chordata; Lepidosauria; Squamata; Phyllodactylidae.